This 1333-nucleotide ribosomal RNA is filed under the name uncultured bacterium. Its description in RNAcentral is "bacterial SSU rRNA". It matches the Rfam family "Bacterial small subunit ribosomal RNA", at positions 28 to 1382 of the family's 1533-position model. The record is from RNAcentral.
GACGAACGCUGGCGGCGCGCCUAACACAUGCAAGUCGAACGAGCGAGAGAGAGCUUGCUUUCUCGAGCGAGUGGCGAACGGGUGAGUAACGCGUGAGGAACCUACCUCAAAGAGGGGGACAACAGUUGGAAACGACUGCUAAUACCGCAUAAGCCCACAGCUCGGCAUCGAGCAGAGGGAAAAGGAGCAAUCCGCUUUGAGAUGGCCUCGCGUCCGAUUAGCUAGUUGGUGAGGUAAUGGCCCACCAAGGCAACGAUCGGUAGCCGGACUGAGAGGUUGAACGGCCACAUUGGGACUGAGACACGGCCCAGACUCCUACGGGAGGCAGCAGUGGGGAAUAUUGCACAAUGGGGGAAACCCUGAUGCAGCGACGCCGCGUGGAGGAAGAAGGUCUUCGGAUUGUAAACUCCUGUUGUUGAGGAAGAUAAUGACGGUACUCAACAAGGAAGUGACGGCUAACUACGUGCCAGCAGCCGCGGUAAAACGUAGGUCACAAGCGUUGUCCGGAAUUACUGGGUGUAAAGGGAGCGCAAGCGGGAAGACAAGUUGGAAGUGAAAUCUAUGGGCUCACCCCAUAAACUGCUUUCAAAACUGUUUUUCUUGAGUAGUGCAGAGGUAGGCGGAAUUCCCGGUGUAGCGGUGGAAUGCGUAGAUAUCGGGAGGAACACCAGUGGCGAAGGCGGCCUACUGGGCACCAACUGACGCUGAGGCUCGAAAGUGUGGGUAGCAAACAGGAUUAGAUACCCUGGUAGUCCACACCGUAAACGAUGAUUACUAGGUGUUGGAGGAUUGACCCCUUCAGUGCCGCAGUUAACACAAUAAGUAAUCCACCUGGGGAGUACGACCGCAAGGUUGAAACUCAAAGGAAUUGACGGGGGCCCGCACAAGCAGUGGAGUAUGUGGUUUAAUUCGACGCAACGCGAAGAACCUUACCAAGUCUUGACAUCCCUUGACGAACAUAGAAAUAUGUUUUCUCUUCGGAGCAAGGAGACAGGUGGUGCAUGGUUGUCGUCAGCUCGUGUCGUGAGAUGUUGGGUUAAGUCCCGCAACGAGCGCAACCCUUACUGUCAGUUACUACGCAAGAGGACUCUGGCAGGACUGCCGUUGACAAAACGGAGGAAGGUGGGGAUGACGUCAAAUCAUCAUGCCCUUUAUGACUUGGGCUACACACGUACUACAAUGGCGUUAAACAAAGAGAAGCAAGACCGCGAGGUGGAGCAAAACUCAGAAACAACGUCCCAGUUCGGACUGCAGGCUGCAACUCGCCUGCACGAAGUCGGAAUUGCUAGUAAUCGUGGAUCAGCAUGCCACGGUGAAUAAGUUCCCGGGCCUU